Molecule: non-coding RNA, 357 nt
Organism: Nerophis lumbriciformis (worm pipefish)
Lineage: Eukaryota; Metazoa; Chordata; Actinopteri; Syngnathiformes; Syngnathidae
Source: RefSeq, a predicted model, not a curated record
GUAAGAAGAAGGACGUUGCUGCGUCACCACCAGUUGUUCCAUUCACUGAAGUUUUUAAUGACUGCACCAUCUCAUGUUCCAAACUUCCCAGACUUUGUGGAAGUUGGUUCUGUUGAUGAAGUUGAGAUUUGUCACUAUGACAACAGCAGCAAGAGAGCAGAAUCACAGCAGAGGAUCCAAACUAGUGGCAGAGAGAAACACGGAUCAGUGCUAAUGAACACAUCAGCAAAGUCGACAUAGAAAUUUAUGGGAAGAUCUUCAACCAAACUGAAGAAAGGCUGGUCCUAAAGAGGGAGGCAUUUUUCCCAGGUCUCAAGAAGGUCACCAAGCUGGAGAGAAGAAGCAUCCUGAGCAACG